This 429-nucleotide ribosomal RNA is filed under the name Chloroflexota bacterium. RNAcentral's name for it is "Chloroflexi bacterium partial 16S ribosomal RNA". It matches the Rfam family "Bacterial small subunit ribosomal RNA", at positions 355 to 776 of the family's 1533-position model. Lineage: Bacteria; Bacillati; Chloroflexota. The record is from RNAcentral.
UGGGGAAUAUUGCACAAUGGGCGCAAGCCUGAUGCAGCCAUGCCGCGUGUAUGAAGAAGGCCUUCGGGUUGUAAAGUACUUUCAGCGGGGAGGAAGGGAGUAAAGUUAAUACCUUUGCUCAUUGACGUUACCCGCAGAAGAAGCACCGGCUAACUCCGUGCCAGCAGCCGCGGUAAUACGGGGGGUGCAAGCGUUAAUCGGAAUUACUGGGCGUAAAGCGCACGCAGGCGGUUUGUUAAGUCAGAUGUGAAAUCCCCGGGCUCAACCUGGGAACUGCAUCUGAUACUGACAAGCUUGAGUCUCGUAGAGGGGGGUAGAAUUCCAGGUGUAGCGGUGAAAUGCGUAGAGAUCUGGAGGAAUACCGGUGGCGAAGGCGGCCCCCUGGACGAAGACUGACGCUCAGGUGCGAAAGCGUGGGGAGCAAACAGG